UGAAGAAUCUUCCGCAAUGGACGAAAGUCUGACGGAGCAACACCGCGUGAAGGAUGAAGGCCCUCGGGUCGUAAACUUCUUUUCUGAGGGAAUAAGUUCUGAAGGUACCUCAGGAAUAAGGCGCUGCUAACUACGUGCCAGCAGCAGCGGUAAUACGUAGGCGCCAAGCGUUAUCCGGAAUUACUGGGCGUAAAGCGUCCGUAGGCGGCCAAAUUAGUCGGGUGUAAAAUUUUCGUGCCCAACACGAAAAGUGUACCCGAAACUGUUUGGCUACGAGUCUGAAAGAGGCCACUGGAAUUCCUAUUGGAGGAGUUAAAUCCGUAGAUAGUAGGAGGAACACCAAAAGCGAAGGCAGGUGGCUGGUUCAGUACUGACGCUCAGGGACGAAAGCGUGGGGAGCGAACA
Molecule: ribosomal RNA, 405 nt
Filed under: uncultured bacterium
Lineage: Bacteria
Description: bacterial SSU rRNA
Rfam family: Bacterial small subunit ribosomal RNA
Source: RNAcentral